This 483-nucleotide ribosomal RNA is filed under the name Procambarus ouachitae. Its description in RNAcentral is "partial 16S ribosomal RNA". It matches the Rfam family "Archaeal large subunit ribosomal RNA", at positions 2021 to 2712 of the family's 2987-position model. Lineage: Eukaryota; Metazoa; Arthropoda; Malacostraca; Decapoda; Cambaridae. The record is from RNAcentral.
GACCGUGCGAAGGUAGCAUAAUCAUUAGUUUUUUAAUUGAAGGCUAGAAUGAAUGGUUGGACAAGAAAUAAUCUGUCUUAAAUUAAUAUAUUGAAUUUAACUUUUAAGUGAAAAGGCUUAAAUAAUCUGAAGGGACGAUAAGACCCUAUAAAACUUUAUAUUUAUAAAUUAGUAGUUAGUUUUAUUUAAAAAUACUAUUUUAGAAUAUUUGGUUGGGGUGACAAGGAUAAAAUAUAAAAUAACUGUCUUUUUUUUUUACAAUAAUAUUUGGUUUAAUGAUCCUUAAAGGGAUUAAAGAUUAAGUUACUUUAGGGAUAACAGCGUAAUUUUCUUUAAGAGUUCAUAUCGACAAGAAAGUUUGCGACCUCGAUGUUGAAUUAAAAGUUCUUUAUAGAGUAGAGACUAUAAAAGAAGGUCUGUUCGACCUUUAAAAUUUUACAUGAUUUGAGUUCAGACCGGUGUAAGCCAGGUUGGUUUCUAUCU